Molecule: long non-coding RNA, 938 nt
Organism: Alnus glutinosa
Lineage: Eukaryota; Viridiplantae; Streptophyta; Magnoliopsida; Fagales; Betulaceae
Exons: 2
Source: RefSeq, a predicted model, not a curated record
UUUUCUUAAACAAAAAGAAAAGGAGACGGAGAGAUUUCUUCAUUGUAUUCCCCCCUCCCCCCUAUUCCUUUACCACCCAACCAAGUUAAGACUUAAGAAGACUGAUUUUCCUUCCCUUCUUUUCCCUUCACGAAGUCAAAAGCACUAGAGUUUUUACUUUAUUAAUUUAUUUUACUUAAUAAUAAUCAAGCACCUACCAAUGGUUUUAUUGUAAUGACAUUUUUUUUUGUUUCCUACUAAUUUAUUGAAAACGAGAUUCGUACAAACUAAAAGUUAACUAAUUUUUUUCAAAGAAAUAAAAGGAUAAUCAAACAAGUGCCUGGAAUGCAUUAGAAAUCGAUAACCUGAAAGGCUGAGGCAACAAAGAUGCCGGGACAGUUUUUUUGUGUCCGUUGUUGUCGACAUGUUUCGUCGACAGAUUGGCGGGGUGUUUCGUUUUCAAACCAAACAAAUCUUACCUCGGAUACGCCAAACUAAAUAUAAUAUAUAUAUAUAUAUAAUAAAGAACACAAAGCAACUCUCUCUCUCUCUCUCUCUCUCUCUCCGUCUCUCAGCUCUCAUUUCUCUCUUUUGUGGGUUUAGGGGUUAUCAUGUGUUGUACAGUUCGAUCCCGAGAACACGCUGGCCAUUGCUUACGUCGCAUGGUGAUUCAGUUCCCUGAGAGAUGGUUUGUGCUCAAAAGGUUCAGAGAUAAUAAUGAUGCCUGCUGUAAGGGUUGUGCUUUGUUCCAACAUAAUACAUGAAAAAUUUAUCGCUUAAAGGAACUGCAUGUUGGAAUUUAUGCAUUAAUAUACUUCAGGUCUGGAAUAGGGGAAUGAAGCUAUUGGUCCUAAUAGCAUAGCAAUAUAUGUUUCAUAUUUAACAUUUUCUGUCAAUUAUUUCUCUCUUUUCAAAUUCUUUGGAUAAUAUAUGCCGUGCUGCACCUUCUAUUUUUAUUC